RNAcentral lists this long non-coding RNA (773 nucleotides) under Homo sapiens (human). Its description in RNAcentral is "non-protein coding lnc-RWDD3-7:4". Lineage: Eukaryota; Metazoa; Chordata; Mammalia; Primates; Hominidae. The record is from RNAcentral.
CACUGCAAUAAUCCAGGAGAGAAAUCAUGUGAGCUUGAGAAGGAAUCAGAUUCUGCAUAUAUUUCCAAGUUAACAUGAACAAGAUUUUCUGAAAGACUGCUAUGGAGUCUGAGAAAAAAUGUCAAAGGUAGUGCCAAAAUUGUCACUUAAAGAACUGCAGGAAUGGAGUUGGCAUUUACAGAAUUUGGAAGAGAAGCAGGUUUAGUGAUAAAGACCAGAAGCACAGAGCUAAGCAUAUUAAAUAUUGAGGACAUGAAGAGGAAAGAACUGACAGAGGAGGUGAAGAAAGGUGAUCAGGAAGAGCCAUCAAAGUGUUAUCCUGGAAUUCAAGUGAAGACAGUGUUUCAAAGUGGAAAUGAACAGUGUCCUGUAACCCUCAGAGUGAGACUAGAGUCAGAAUGCAGGCUUUUCUCAUUUGAAAUCUAUAUGCCACAGAGAGGAUCCAGAGAGCCCAUCUCCGGUCAGUUAUCUGUAUUUGUAUGUCAACUACAGCAUCAAAAAGCAUAGGCAUGGAUACUAAGGACCCCCUCUGUACACCAACGCCAGUCCAAAGGACAGUGUGUCACUGUGAACUGGAAAUUCAUCUCUCUUCUUCAAUUUUUUUCUACCUACUUUAUGCUUUAUCUCUAAGUUGAGGCUGUUUAUGGCCUCAUCCUCAAUUACCUUGUCCCUCAUUACUCCCAGUUAAUGGAGAUUAAGCUUUGUAUCAUGACUUCCUAACUAAAAUUGAAAUCACAAGACAUCACAUAAAUAAAGUUACAAAUGGAUUAGAU